This 683-nucleotide ribosomal RNA is filed under the name Enterococcus mundtii. RNAcentral's name for it is "bacterial SSU rRNA". It matches the Rfam family "Bacterial small subunit ribosomal RNA", at positions 1 to 658 of the family's 1533-position model. The record is from RNAcentral. Lineage: Bacteria; Bacillati; Bacillota; Bacilli; Lactobacillales; Enterococcaceae.
UUUAGAGUUUNNNNNCCCCGUCAGGACGANCGCUGGCGGCGUGCCUAAUACAUGCAAGUCGAACGCUUCUUUUCCCACCGGAGCUUGCUCCACCGGGAAAAGAGGAGUGGCGAACGGGUGAGUAACACGUGGGUAACCUGCCCAUCAGAAGGGGAUAACACUUGGAAACAGGUGCUAAUACCGUAUAACAAUCGAAACCGCAUGGUUUCGUUUUGAAAGGCGCUUUACGGUGCCGCUGAUGGAUGGACCCGCGGUGCAUUAGCUAGUUGGUGAGGUAACGGCUCACCAAGGCCACGAUGCAUAGCCGACCUGAGAGGGUGAUCGGCCACAUUGGGACUGAGACACGGCCCAAACUCCUACGGGAGGCAGCAGUAGGGAAUCUUCGGCAAUGGACGAAAGUCUGACCGAGCAACGCCGCGUGAGUGAAGAAGGUUUUCGGAUCGUAAAACUCUGUUGUUAGAGAAGAACAAGGGUGAGAGUAACUGUUCACCCCUUGACGGUAUCUAACCAGAAAGCCACGGCUAACUACGUGCCAGCAGCCGCGGUAAUACGUAGGUGGCAAGCGUUGUCCGGAUUUAUUGGGCGUAAAGCGAGCGCAGGCGGUUUCUUAAGUCUGAUGUGAAAGCCCCCGGCUCAACCGGGGAGGGUCAUUGGAAACUGGGAGACUUGAGUGCAGAAGAUGA